Molecule: ribosomal RNA, 253 nt
Filed under: uncultured bacterium
Lineage: Bacteria
Description: partial 16S ribosomal RNA
Rfam family: Bacterial small subunit ribosomal RNA
Source: RNAcentral
UACAGGGGGGGCAAGCGUUGUUCGGAAUUACUGGGCGUAAAGGGCUCGUAGGCGGCCAACUAAGUCGGACGUGAAAUCCCCAGGCUCAACCUGGGAACUGCGUCCGAUACUGGAUGGCUUGAAUUCGGGAGAGGGAUGCAGAAUUCCAGGUGUAGCGGUGAAAUGCGUAGAUAUCUGGAGGAAUACCGGUGGCGAAGGCGGCAUCCUGGACCGACAUUGACGCUGAGGAGCGAAAGCUAGGGGAGCAAACAGG